AGAUUGAACGCUGGCGGCAGGCCUAACACAUGCAAGUCGAGCGGUAGAGAGGUGCUUGCAUCUCUUGAGAGCGGCGGACGGGUGAGUAAUGCCUAGGAAUCUGCCUAGUGGUGGGGGAUAACGUUCGGAAACGGACGCUAAUACCGCAUACGUCCUACGGGAGAAAGCGGGGGACCUUCGGGCCUCGCGCCAUUAGAUGAGCCUAGGUCGGAUUAGCUAGUUGGUGAGGUAAUGGCUCACCAAGGCGACGAUCCGUAACUGGUCCUGAGAGGAUGAUCAGUCACACUGGAACUGAGACACGGUCCAGACUCCGUACGGGAGCAGCAGGUGGGAAUAGUGACAAGUGGGACAAAGCUAGACUCCAGCCAUCGACCGUCGUAGU
This 382-nucleotide ribosomal RNA is filed under the name uncultured soil bacterium. RNAcentral describes it as "bacterial SSU rRNA". It matches the Rfam family "Bacterial small subunit ribosomal RNA", at positions 26 to 405 of the family's 1533-position model. The record is from RNAcentral.